UGUCUAAAUGAAAAAAUUACUGUUAAGAUUUUUUUUUUAUUUGAAACAUCUGAUACCAAAACAAGUCUAGAAAAUAAGUCACAAGUGUAUGGAAUAAGUCACGGUAGGUUUGGACCAUGAAAGUCAAACCAUUAGACCAUACCAUUAAACCAAAAUGCCUUGGUGGUUAAAAAAAUAGAUCAUUGGGGAAAAUUAUCAAAUAUUGUUUUCUAGGAUAGCUGUAAUCCAAUACCAUCCUCCUAGGCAAAACCAGCAGGUGUGCUCAGUAGCAGAGAGAAAACCUGGGAAUUUGUCGGAUCAUGCAUUCAGGAGGCUGGAAUCGUAUCGAUCAGGUCCUGAAGAACUAACAGAUGACAACUAAUCAGACUACAACAGGGGGUUUUAUUGCACCCAGGCUGGAAUUAUCUCUA
This 410-nucleotide long non-coding RNA is filed under the name Ficedula albicollis (Collared flycatcher). RNAcentral describes it as "lncRNA (ENSFALG00000025476.1)". The record is from RNAcentral. Lineage: Eukaryota; Metazoa; Chordata; Aves; Passeriformes; Muscicapidae.